MicroRNA precursor from Oryza sativa Japonica Group (Japanese rice), 207 nucleotides. It matches the Rfam family "MIR812 microRNA precursor family". Lineage: Eukaryota; Viridiplantae; Streptophyta; Magnoliopsida; Poales; Poaceae. The record is from Rfam.
AAAAAAGACAGACCCUGGUUCCAGUGUCCAACGUUUGACCGUCCGUCUUAUUUAAAAAAAUUAUGAAAAAAAAUUAAAAAAAUAAGUCACGCAUAAAGUAUUAAUCAUGUUUUAUCAUCUAACAACAAUAAAAAUACUAAUUAUAAAAAAAAUUCAUAUAAGACGGGCGGUCAAAUGUUGGCACGGAAAUCUAGGGUUUGUCUUUUU